GGCAGGAGCAGGGCAGAGAAGGAAAGAUGCCCAGUGAGGCAUGACUGUGCAUUGAAGCGUUUGUCCACACGUUUCUGACACACAAGUUCUUUCAGCUAGUGGACAAGCAUGUGAAAACACGAAUAAAAGGCAUUUACCUUUGGAUCCUGUAAACAUCGUCUCUG
RNAcentral lists this long non-coding RNA (164 nucleotides) under Cricetulus griseus (Chinese hamster). Its description in RNAcentral is "lncRNA (ENSCGRG00000026158.1)". Lineage: Eukaryota; Metazoa; Chordata; Mammalia; Rodentia; Cricetidae. The record is from RNAcentral.